Podarcis lilfordi (Lilford's wall lizard) is the source of this 72-nucleotide non-coding RNA. NCBI's taxonomy places the organism in Eukaryota, Metazoa, Chordata, Lepidosauria, Squamata, Lacertidae. The record is from the annotation of a GenBank genome assembly.
GGAACUAUUUUUCAGUGGUAGAGCAGCUGCUUUGACUGCAGAAAACCCCAGGUUCAAUCCCUGACAGCUCCA